This is a non-coding RNA of Triticum urartu, 3837 nucleotides long. The record is from RefSeq and is a predicted model, not a curated record. NCBI's taxonomy places the organism in Eukaryota, Viridiplantae, Streptophyta, Magnoliopsida, Poales, Poaceae.
UUGGUCAAUUAGGUCUCCUUCGCUCCCUCAAGGCCUCAAAUCCCUCCGCCUCAAGAAGCCCAAAUCCCCCUUCUCUCUCGAAGCAUCUCCUAUCCAAAGAUCCAGAUGCGCUCACCACCGUCGUCCGCAUCCAAGCCGCCCCGCCGUUUCCCACUGCCGUCCGCAUCCAAGCCGCCCCGCCGUGUCCCCUACCAGACUGUCGUGUCCCACCACCUCCCGUCGCCCCACCUCCCCCCCGUCCCGCCGUGUCCCCUGCAUCACCACCGCCCGGCCGCCCCACGCCGCACUGCCCUGUCGUGCCCCCUCUUCCUCCCCUCGUAUACCCCCAGCAUGGUCGUGACGGCCGCGCUGACCAUGGCCAUGACAGCAAGGAUGAUGGCGACGCGUGACCCAUGGUGACCUUACCCCGGCUGAUAGUUUGGAUGACCACCGGAUCUACCUGACAUCGUAUCCCCUCCUCUCCAACAGUUAGCAGAGUUGUGAUCUUGUUGUAUCAGGAAUUCAGGAGGUCUGAUAAAUUGUAAUUUCUCUCCAACUAGGCAUUCCCCUUUGAUCUUAGUGCCAUGAACAUGUUCUUACCGGUGGUCAGGUCUGAUGGUUGAUGCAUAAUAGCAUCUAAUUCAGGCUCUUGCAUGAAGGAGCUUCUUGAGAUUUUGGCAACUAAAAAAGGAGUGCCUAUCAACGAAACCCCCCCAUCUCCAGUUCCACCUUCUGCUUGUUCACCAUCUCUUCCAGAUGUUGGAAACAAGCCAAGAACCACCAGCUUUGUGUGCUCAGCAACAUAUAGAUCAUGUAAGUUCUCUACCCAAUACCCAUGAAUUCUUGCGUUGCUGGUGCUUUCUACCCAAUACCCAUGACUGAUGGCUGCUGGGCUGCCUGCUGUUCCCAGUCAAUUAGCAAUUUCAGAAUUAAAUUAAUUGGGCACACAAUUAAUUUAGUGCAAAUCAUUAUUGUAUGUGUCUUUCUAGUUCGUCUAGUGAUAAUAAUCUGGGACCGAUUCGGUCUAGCCUAGCACAUAUAUUUCAGGGAAGUAAGUAUCACAGACUCAGCGUAGCCUAGCACAUAUCUUUUAGGAAUGUGAGUAUCACAGAUUCAGUGUAGCCUACCACAUAUCUUUUAGAUCAAGGUUAGGUUUUAGUGUUCUUUACUGGGCUGUGCUCACGAUUCACAAAGCAGUAUCAUGUGUUGUGCAAGCUGCCGAAACACUAGGAGAGGUACAUACUCAGCGUACUGCAAUAUUUAGAGCAUUCAGUCAUGAAUCAAAAUCCUUUUUAUGGUAGGGAUGAAUCAAAAUCUUAGUCUAAUAUUAUGUCAAACUAUCCUAAGCAUGGUAAUUAACGUUUGUCAAUUUCGUUCCUGGUCCAGAUGAUUUACACAGCACAAAAACAUCCAUGUACAUAGGCAGGUUGUCCCAGCAAGCAAAAAUUUCACUACACACCGCUUUUAGUAAUUAUCACUAAAGCUUUGUUUCGUGCUUUGAUAUGCGAGUUUGAUAGGAGCAGCAAUGCUUUGGUGAUAAAACUUUUGUUCCGUCAAAACUGAAAAUAUUAAUCUGUCCUGUGAAAUGAUAAUAUAUAUUAAUCAAUUGUGGGUAUUUUGGCAAUUCUAUGAUGUUGUUGUACAUAGGCAGGUUGUCCCAGCAAGCAAAAAUUUCACUACACACCGCUUUUAGUAAUUAUCACUAAAGCUUUGUUUCGUGCUUUGAUAUGCGAGUUUGAUAGGAGCAGCAAUGCUUUGGUGAUAAAACUUUUGUUCCGUCAAAACUGAAAAUAUUAAUCUGUCCUGUGAAAUGAUAAUAUAUAUUAAUCAAUUGUGGGUAUUUUGGCAAUUCUAUGAUGUUGUUGUACAUAGGCAGGUUGUCCCAGCAAGCAAAAAUUUCACUACACACCGCUUUUAGUAAUUAUCACUAAAGCUUUGUUUCGUGCUUUGAUAUGCGAGUUUGAUAGGAGCAGCAAUGCUUUGGUGAUAAAACUUUUGUUCUGUCAAAACUGAAAAUAUCAAUCUGUCCUGUGAAAUGACAAUAUAUAUUAAUCAAUUGUGGGUAUUUUGGCAAUUCUAUGAUGUUGUUUAUUGUCCUACUUUUUUUCUAAAGGUAUAGCGUGAUUUAUACAUGCAGACUUUGUCAAAAAAACGUGCAAGAACAUUUUAGUAGAGCUUGGAUGUAGAUGAGGACAUGAGGUAGUGUUUCAAAAGCUUCAUCACGGCACAUAUAUUGAUGUACUUCUGAAAAUGUACUUGUUUGAAUUAUAUGUAUCAUAUUUUGUUGACUACACUUUCUAGUAUCUUCGUACAACAGUUAAAUAAAUCUACUGGAAAUCUAUAGUGGACGGUAUGCUACAAAAAUGGUGAGAAAUGAAUUUCUUUCUCGGUAAGUAACUUUGUUUUCCAGUGUGCAGCCAGGCUAUUGGGUUUGGAGGGUUGAUUCAACUUAUAGAAGGGGCCGUAUGCACCAAAGAGUAGUAGAGAUGGAGAUGCUCGUGGGGUCUGCGAAGCUAUGGAGGCAGGUGAAGGUGUCAUAUGCAUGUUUGCAUCUUCUCUUCUCAUGAAUCUUAUAUGGAGAAAUAUAAUUCAGGAAACAACUAUGUAAGUGGAGCAAUAUCAGUUUUCACUAAAUAUGAUCCACCAACUAUAUCAAGGUACUGUAAUUUGAACCAUUCAAAUUAUGUUAAAUGUGGUAAAUAGCCGAAUUUUCUUGAAAAACAUUGCCGUUAUUUUCUAAAACAUUGCCAAGCGUGGCAACGCGCCCCUUUAUGUCCUACUAUCUAAAAUCUUCUUACGAGUACUUUGGUUAGGUACUAGCAAGCAUGCGCGUCCACACACGCACGUACAACACAACACACAUGCUCUGCUCCUGAUUUGUCAAUAGUAUGCUGAUGCUUUGCUUUGAUCUGCUCUACCACUCUGAAAUUUUUGCAAUGGGGGCCACUUACUUUGCAUGUGCUUGCUCAUGCAGUGACCUGAUUGAUAGUUGUCUCUCUUCAACUAAUGUCCAGAUACAACAAGUUAGUCUUGAUUUGUACAGGAGCCAAGUAGAAUUGUCUGAACUCUUUUUUUGGGUUUUUACUUACCACACAUCUGCCACGUGGUGACUGUCAGAACUCUAAAUGCAAUAGCGCAACAGUUUACUACUAUGUGAGAUUAAAUGGGAUUAUGUGGGAAGUAGACGCAACAAUGUUGAUUGUGGGCUGCCUAUGAACACCCACAUAACAGAUGCGUGCAGAUGUGGGCAUCCUGCUAUUAGUCCCGCUUGUAGCUUGAAUGUGUAUCCCUAACAAAGUGAAGGGUCAUGACAAUCUUCCUGAACUAUGACCAUGUGUAUCCAUUGACCUAUUUUUCAUGCAAAUUCUACUAUCAGUAUAUAGGUUGCUUCCAAAGUAGUUUCAAAGACUUCAACAUAUCCAAACAAGUGGAAUGUUGCAUAUGCUACUAUUCGGUGCACUGAUCCAGAAACUAGGGCUGGUGAUAUUGAGUUAGGUACCGACUUUGCAUGUGUGUGCAUAGAUGAAACUAUUCUGGAUAAUGAGGUGUUGGGGAAGUUGAAGUUUCUGAUUGGUGAUGCUUUUUCUUGAGGAUACUUAAUCGCCUGGCCUCGAGCUUUUAUUAAAAAGAAGGAUAAUUGAGUUGCAGCUGAAUUCUCUGGUUGGAUCAAGAAGCAAAUAAAAUUAGAGAAAUGUACUUUGCAAUAACCGUAGUUUCUGUUGAUAGAUGAAAAAAAAUGUAAUAUCAUACACGAGAUCUUUUUCUUUGUUAGAAUUGAUGCAAAUGCUAUGUUGUAAUAUUAUCUGGAGAUAUGUUCUUUGUAGUCAAAUUAAUAUGAAUGAUAUGUUGCACCAAUAA